GAUGAACGCUGGCGGCGUGCCUAAUACAUGCCAGUCGAGCGAACAGACGAGGAGCUUGCUCCUCUGACGUUAGCGGCGGACGGGUGAGUAACACGUAGAUAACCUACCUAUAAGACUGGGAUAACUUCGGGAAACCGGAGCUAAUACCGGAUAAUAUAUUGAACCGCAUGGUUCAAUAGUGAAAGACGGUUUUGCUGUCACUUAUAGAUGGAUCCGCGCCGCAUUAGCUAGUUGGUAAGGUAACGGCUUACCAAGGCAACGAUGCGUAGCCGACCUGAGAGGGUGAUCGGCCACACUGGAACUGAGACACGGUCCAGACUCCUACGGGAGGCAGCAGUAGGGAAUCUUCCGCAAUGGGCGAAAGCCUGACGGAGCAACGCCGCGUGAGUGAUGAAGGUCUUCGGAUCGUAAAACUCUGUUAUUAGGGAAGAACAAAUGUGUAAGUAACUAUGCACGUCUUGACGGUACCUAAUCAGAAAGCCACGGCUAACUACGUG
RNAcentral lists this ribosomal RNA (497 nucleotides) under uncultured bacterium. RNAcentral's name for it is "partial 16S ribosomal RNA". It matches the Rfam family "Bacterial small subunit ribosomal RNA", at positions 28 to 507 of the family's 1533-position model. The record is from RNAcentral.